This 1101-nucleotide ribosomal RNA is filed under the name Rose cv. Frisco phytoplasma. RNAcentral describes it as "bacterial SSU rRNA". It matches the Rfam family "Bacterial small subunit ribosomal RNA", at positions 230 to 1339 of the family's 1533-position model. Lineage: Bacteria; Bacillati; Mycoplasmatota; Mollicutes; Acholeplasmatales; Acholeplasmataceae. The record is from RNAcentral.
CUUGCGUCACAUUAKUUAGUUGGUGGGGUAAAGGCCUACCAAGACUAUGAUGUGUAKCCGGGCUGAGAGGUUGAACGGCCACAUUGGGACUGAGACACGGCCCAAACUCCUACGGGAGGCAGCAGUAGGGAAUUUUCGGCAAUGGAGGAAACUCUGACCGAGCAACGCCGCGUGAACGAUGAAGUAUUUCGGUACGUAAAGUUCUUUUAUUAGGGAAGAAUAAAUGAUGGAAAAAUCAUUCUGACGGUACCUAAUGAAUAAGCCCCGGCUAACUAUGUGCCAGCAGCCGCGGUAAUACAUAGGGGGCAAGCGUUAUCCGGAAUUAUUGGGCGUAAAGGGUGCGUAGGCGGUUAAAUAAGUUUAUGGUCUAAGUGCAAUGCUCAACAUUGUGAUGCUAUAAAAACUGUUUAGCUAGAGUAAGAUAGAGGCAAGUGGAAUUCCAUGUGUAGUGGUAAAAUGCGUAAAUAUAUGGAGGAACACCAGUAGCGAAGGCGGCUUGCUGGGUCUUUACUGACGCUGAGGCACGAAAGCGUGGGGAGCAAACAGGAUUAGAUACCCUGGUAGUCCACGCCGUAAACGAUGAGUACUAAACGUUGGGUAAAACCAGUGUUGAAGUUAACACAUUAAGUACUCCGCCUGAGUAGUACGUACGCAAGUAUGAAACUUAAAGGAAUUGACGGGACUCCGCACAAGCGGUGGAUCAUGUUGUUUAAUUCGAAGGUACCCGAAAAACCUCACCAGGUCUUGACAUGCUUCUGCAAAGCUGUAGAAACACAGUGGAGGUUAUCAGUUGCACAGGUGGUGCAUGGUUGUCGUCAGCUCGUGUCGUGAGAUGUUGGGUUAAGUCCCGCAACGAGCGCAACCCUUAUUGUUAGUUACCAGCACGUAAUGGUGGGGACUUUAGCAAGACUGCCAGUGAUAAAUUGGAGGAAGGUGGGGACGACGUCAAAUCAUCAUGCCCCUUAUGACCUGGGCUACAAACGUGAUACAAUGGCUGUUACAAAGGGUAGCUGAAGCGCAAGUUUUUGGCGAAUCUCAAAAAAACAGUCUCAGUUCGGAUUGAAGUYUGCAACUCGACUUCAUGAAGUUGGAAUCGCUAGU